RNAcentral lists this ribosomal RNA (395 nucleotides) under uncultured bacterium. RNAcentral describes it as "bacterial SSU rRNA". It matches the Rfam family "Bacterial small subunit ribosomal RNA", at positions 117 to 518 of the family's 1533-position model. The record is from RNAcentral.
GCAAAUAACCUGCCUCAAAGAUGGGGACAACAGCUCGAAAGGGUUGCUAAUACCGAAUGUUGUAUAGAAAGGGCAUCCGUGAUUAUACUAAAGAUUUAUCGCUUGAGAGGGUUGCAUCCGAUAGGCAGUUGGCGGGUAAAGCCCACCAAACCGACGAUCGGUAACCGGUCUGAGAGGAUGAACGGUCACAUUGGAACUGAGACACGGUCCAGACUCCUACGGGAGGCAGCAGUGGGGAAUAUUCCACAAUGGAGGGAACUCUGAUGGAGCGACGCCGCGUGAGUGAAGAAGGGUUUAGGCUCGUAAAGCUCUUUUCUUGCAGAUGAAUGACUUAUUAGAUAAGUAGGGACAGUAUGUAAGGAAUAAGCCACGGCUAACUACGUGCCAGCAGCUGC